AAGUGGCGGACGAGCGAGUAAUACACAAGAACUUACCCCGUACUCAGGGAUAACAUGCCGAAAGGUGUGCUAAUACCGGAUGGUCUCGCAAGAGUAAAGCUCAGGCGGUACGGGAGAGGCUUGUGGCCUAUCAGCUAGUUGGUGAGGUAAAGGCUUACCAAGGCUAUGACGGGUACCUGGUGUGAGAGCACGACCAGGCGCGAUGGGACUGAGACACGGUCCAGACUCC
Molecule: ribosomal RNA, 229 nt
Filed under: uncultured bacterium
Lineage: Bacteria
Description: partial 16S ribosomal RNA
Rfam family: Bacterial small subunit ribosomal RNA
Source: RNAcentral